UACGUAGGGGGGCAAGCGUUGUCCGGAUUCAUUGGGCGUAAAGAGCUCGUAGGCGGCCUGUUGCGUCCGCUGUGAAAUCCCGGGGCUUAACCCCGGGCUUGCAGUGGAUACGGGCAGGCUGGAGGCAGGCAGGGGAGAACGGAAUUCCCGGUGUGAGCGGUGAAAUGCGCAGAUAUCGGGAGGAACACCGGUGGCGAAGGCGGUUCUCUGGGCCUGUACUGACGCUGAGGAGCGAAAGCGUGGGGAGCGAACAGGG
This 256-nucleotide ribosomal RNA is filed under the name uncultured bacterium. RNAcentral's name for it is "partial 16S ribosomal RNA". It matches the Rfam family "Bacterial small subunit ribosomal RNA", at positions 524 to 777 of the family's 1533-position model. The record is from RNAcentral.